CUUAGCCCUAAACAUAGAUAAUUUUACAACAAAAUAAUUCGCCAGAGGACUACUAGCAAUAGCUUAAAACUCAAAGGACUUGGCGGUGCUUUAUAUCCCUCUA
This 103-nucleotide ribosomal RNA is filed under the name Canis sp. RNAcentral describes it as "partial 12S ribosomal RNA". The record is from RNAcentral. Lineage: Eukaryota; Metazoa; Chordata; Mammalia; Carnivora; Canidae.